Molecule: long non-coding RNA, 225 nt
Filed under: Lathyrus oleraceus (garden pea)
Lineage: Eukaryota; Viridiplantae; Streptophyta; Magnoliopsida; Fabales; Fabaceae
Description: Pisum sativum (pea) long non-coding RNA (PSAT_LNC028399)
Source: RNAcentral
AAAGUUUGAUCUUUGCCAAAUGAUGAUACAAUGUUCAAGCCAUGCGCAGCCCUAGCAAAUCUUGUCCAAAAUGGAUGAAAUUGGACUUUUUGGAAAGGCUAGAUCAAGAGGAACAACUUUCAUGUUCAAUACUUUUCCAUUUUGAGCUUGGAACAUGAUGAAUUUUGAGGUGGAAGUUUGGAAAUUUCAACAUAUUGAAAAAAUUUCUAAGUGUCAAGCCAUAUA